UAAACUUUGUAACAGCUUUUGUUCCUUCAGAGACAGCAUGUUUAGCCAAUUCACCAGGCAACACAAGCCUCACAGCUGUUUGAAUCUCCCUUGAAGUUAUUGUAGGUUUCUUGUUGUAACGAGCCAAUCUUGAAGAUUCCUGUGCUAGCUUCUCGAAUAUAUCAUUUAUGAAACUAUUCAUUAUUCCCAUUGCCUUAGAGCUUAUACCAAUGUCUGGGUGAACCUGCUUCAACACCUUGAAUAUGUAGAUCUUGUAUGUUUCUACGCUCUUCUUGCUCUUCUUCUUCUUCUUGUCAACGGCGGCGCCACCUUCCUUUGGGAGCUUCUUCCCAGCCUUUGGUUUCUUCUCCGCCGGUGAUGAUUUCUCAGCAACGGUGGAUUUCUUUUCCUCCACGGGCUUCUUCUCCGCUGGCUUCUUCUCUGCCUUUGGUGCCAUUACGAAAUUAGAGAAUUUGAGGUUAAUGAAAUAAUAGGGUUUUGUUUCAGAUUUGGGAUUGGAAUAGCGAAAGAGCUGUGUGAUAGAUACUAGCUUGGAAGCGUUGAUAUAUAAGAGGCGUUUCGCGUUCUUAUUGGUUGAUGAGGUAUCCCUCGGAUCGAUGACGUGGAUCUUAUUUAUCCGUAAAAAUGGAAGGAGCGUAUAAUUGUACAAGAAAAAUAAGAGCAGAUCGCGUAAGAUACACGCAUAAGCAAAUCUCAAUUUCACUCUAAUUCUCUUUUCGGAUAAAUAUAAAAAUAAGUAAUUUAUUUAUUACCAAAAGAGUCACUUAUAUAUGUUUUUAGAGCUUACACUAGCAGGCUAUGUGAAUAUUCAUUGGGUGUCAACCUAUGUUAUUGAAUAUCCUAAAAUAAAAAAAAUAUUAAAAAUAAUUGUAAGUAAUUUAUAAAUUUAUGUGUUUAUUUUUUAUAAUGUUAAAUAUUAUUCAGGUAAUCAAAAAAUAAAAAACAUAAACUAAUUUUUAAACACUAGAAUUGACUAUUAAAACAACUUAUUUUAUUCAAAGAAACAUAAAAAACAAAUUUAUCAUUUCAACAAUAUGAUGGAAAAUUUAUUUGCUACAAAUUGAUCAAUCAACAUAAUAUUCAUAUGAAUUAACAAUAUAUCAUCAAUGUUUAGCAGGGAUGGCAACGAGAUCGGGCAGGCGUGGGUAGUGCAUUCUCGUUCCUACCCCACAAUAUUUGCAGCUACACAUGCGGGUAGCUUGUAUUUGUGUAUACCUAACAAAUUUUAAUUUUAAUUAUAUGUUUAUAUACACCGUAAUAAUUAAUAUCAAAAAAUAAUUAUUACAUAAAUAAUAUGAUAAAUUUAUCAACUUAGUCAAAUAAGUGUAAUUUAUUAUGAAAUAUAAUAAAGUAUAUGAUAUAUAAUCCUAAAAUAAUAAUAAUAAAAAACUAUAAUAUAUAUAUAAAAAAUUAAUUUAUAAAUUUGCGGGUACACACAGACGGUAUCAUAAAAUCUGCUCACACUUAUAAGCUAUUAUCGUGGGUACCCAUGAGUUGAUUUUUUUUUUUGCCAUCCUAAUGUUUAGCAGUGUAAGUUCGCAUUUUAACAAUAUAAGACCACCUUUUUAAUAACAUAACAUCAAUAUUUAUCAAUAUAAUUAUCACAUCAUACAUUAACAUCAUAGUAGGACUGUGUAUUAAUAAUGUAACAUUAGAGCUAUGAGUAAUAUAAUAUUUAUAUAUAUUGGAAGAAAUGGGAGGUUUGGGUACCCGUAGGUAAUGAUAUCUCAUUAACUAGACUCAGACUUGUUCAAUAACGAGUCUUAAAAUCUUGAGUCUCAAUUACUAGCGGGUCCAAAAACACAGACUCGCACCCAAUCACUAUGAGUAUUUCACACAUACUUGUUGGUAUGGGUACUCAUACUCAUUUUCAUCCAUAAUCAAAUAUCGUGAAUGUAAAUCAAAAUAGCCACUCAUAGUUGUCAUAAAAAUUUGGCCACAACAUUUCUCAAUAGUUAUGAUUAGUCAGAAAAAUACUAUAUUAUUAAUUUUUUAACUUAAAUAAAUUUUUUCAACGAAUCACGGACUUAUUAUGAUACAGCAGAUGUGGUCCCCAAAUAUCGUCAAUAUAAUGAAUGUUGACAAUGACCAAUUCUACUCAUAUUUGAUAUUUUUAUAAUCUUUUUGAGUUUUUCAAUUUAGAAUGAUGAAAUUAGUACAUGUAAAAAAUUUAAAAGGCUAACUAAAGUAUCUACUCAAUAAAAAAUUAAAAAAUCACCACAUCUUUGCACUCAUUUUUGAUAAUUUUUUAGAUAAUUUUAAAUUUUUCAAUUUUGUAUGAACAAAACUGAUAUAUACAAAAAAAAAAUUGAAAGAUAAAAAUGAGCAUUUAUUCUUUCCUAUCCCAACCAGUCACCAUAGCCACAUAUGGAGAUAUCUGUCCCAAACUGAAUUUCAAGCCAAUCAGAAUGCUCUAUUUUAUUAAUUUUUACUUUUAAUAUUUUAUUUUAUUCACGUGUUAAUAUAUGAUUGGUUUGAGAUACGAAACUUAGCCAUUAUCUCCUAAAAAUGCAUAAAACUCCUCUCGAGCUUCCAUUGAUAAUCAUUCAUUAUAUUCAAACCACAAAUAAAACAAACAAAUUAUUGGUCCAUCAAUCAUUUUGGUUGGUCAAAAAACAAUCACAAAUAACCACACAAAAAACAAAUCAACAUAAAAACAACAUACUACUUUCUAAAUCAUUUUGUGACUAACAGAAGUGAAAAUUCAAAGGAUUAACUUCGCGGUUAAGAUCAUAGAUUACGAAAUACGCCUUAUGAGUGCUUUGAACAAAUGAAAGUUCGUCAAAUAACUGGGCAAUUCUUCAAAAGUUUACACCUGAAUCAUGACUUAUUCAAAAGCAUUAAUAAUUAAAAAGUUAUGGACCGAACAAUUUCACUUUUAACAGGGAGAAAAACAAUGCCGAUCGGAAAAGUUAACUAAUAAGUAAAAUUAUUAUAAAGAAGUGACAACACUAAACUAAAAUGUUAAAAAGAAAAGUUUAAAAUAUCUUCAGUUCAUUUAAUUUGGCUAUUCUCUUUACCGCAUAGGAUCCAAUUUCACAAGUUCUAUACCAAACAAGUAAUUGAAAUCUGAACAAAGAACUAAUCUAAGAGCUUGUAAAUUUGGUGACAGCCUUAGUGCCUUCAGAGACAGCAUGUUUGGCCAAUUCACCAGGCAAUACGAGUCUAACAGCAGUUUGAAUCUCCCUUGAAGUUAUUGUAGGUUUCUUGUUGUAACGAGCCAAUCUAGAAGAUUCCUGAGCAAGCUUCUCGAAUAUAUCAUUUAUGAAACUAUUCAUUAUUCCCAUUGCCUUAGAGCUUAUACCAAUGUCUGGGUGAACCUGCUUCAACACCUUGAAUAUGUAGAUCUUGUAUGUCUCCACGCUCUUCUUGCUUUUCUUUUUCUUCUUGUCAACGGCGGCGCCACCUUCCUUUGGUAGCUUCUUCCCGGCCUUUGGUUUCUUCUCCGCCGGUGGAGCCUUCUCAGCAACGGUGGAUUUGUUCUCCUCUGUGGACUUCUUCUCCGCUGGUUUCUUCUCUGCCUUGGGUGCCAUUACGAUAUUUUAGAGAAAUGAAAUGUUAGGGUUUCUGUCAGAUUGGGAUUAGAAUAGCGAAAGAAUGGUGUGUAAGAUAAUUGUUUCGAGGGAUUUAUAUAUAAAAGGGGUCUCGAAAUCUAUUGGUUGAUUGUGUUUCGCGCGGAUCGAUGACGUGGAUACUCUUUUUCCGUUAGAUAAUAUGCAUCGAAGAAAAUAGAGCGUGCUUCAGAAGCGUUCACGGUGUUUUGAAAUUAGCGGAUAUACGAAGAAGAAAAAAAGCUGAUUGCGCUCUAUUUUACGCAACUGUUUUCGAGGUUCAAUUAUUAUGCACGCGCCAUUAAUCUACAUAUUUCACCAAUUUGGUCUUUCAAAGUGUAUCAAAUAUGUUUAAAAACUCACAAUACUGAUCAGACUAAUUUAGUGGUAGCCUAUAUUUUUAAGGCAUUUAAAUUUACUUUACAUAGUAACAAUUUCAUCCGUAACAAGAAAAAGGUGUACAUUUUAAAAGUACUAAUUUCAUGAAAUUUUUGUAUUAGCAAUAUUGACAUUUAACUCUGUUAAUGAUUCCACCUCUUAGAUUUAAGAGUUUGGAUUAAAUAGCAAAAGUCUUUUUUUGCUUUUAUUUUGAAGCUAAAGAACUUUGUACUAUAAGACUAAAAUUAUUAUAAGAGAUGCCCCUAGAUAUUAUGACGAAGGAAGUUUUUCAAGGCACAAAAAAAACUUCAUAUCCAUUAUUUUACACAAAUACAUGAGUGGUGUAUUAUUCCAUUUUGAUUCCCAAACUGGUCUCCAGUCAACUCAUAAGGUCUCUAUUAAAUAUGGGGCAAAUAAAAUUUUGACUCAUGCAAUUGUCGAUCACAUUGCGACAACCGACCUAACUAAAGAAAGGAUGACAAUAAUAAAUAUGGCCUACUUACCCAUUGUAGAAUGACAUACAUAUGUUAUAGAAUUAUCACAUCGUCUGAAUAAGAUGGACCUCUGAUACAAGACUAUCAUGUCGCAUAAAUAACGUAAAUGUUGUUGUAGAGCUCGACACAUUGUCCAAACAUUAGCCUACCAUAUUGUAGUGGCAAGGAAAAACAUAACAUACAACUAUGAUAGUUUAGAUAGGCGACGAAACGACUCACCCUAGAUAAAAAUAUUGUACCAACUAUAGUAUGAGCAAGUCAAGGCCGCUUGACGAGAAUAAAGCAGCACACGCCUGUUUAAGACACAUCCGAUAGGAUAACUUCUCAUGAUUACAACAUCUAAGAUAGAAUAUAUCAUACUCAAUUCCUCUAUAAGUCACACUUAAUACUCUCACUUAUUUUGUUGCAUCCUUAUAUUCUCUCCACAUAUAUUCACUUGAAUGUUAGAGUAUCUUAUAGAUACACUCUAAGGUGAUCUCAAAUUCAAUAAUCAUAUUAGCCUUCCAACCCAACCUCCACAGGACCAACCAACAUGUAUAAAAAGCAAGUUUGCAUUAGGUUAUUACCAAAGUUAUACAAUAAAUUUACUUGACAAGUGAUACUAGGUAGGGAUGACAAAAUGGGCUUGACCCGACGGACCAGUCCGUUCGGAUAGGUGUUUUUAGAAGGUCGGACUGAGAGUUUUAACCCAAAAGCCCGUAUUGAACCUGUUUUGGAAUGCUGUUUUUUAGACGGGCCAACAUUAAGAUUAAAGUUCAUUUGUCUAUCAUGUUGCUCAUUGCAAUUAAGAUUAAACUUUUACAAUUUUAACUUACGUUUAGAUGCUUAAGCAUAUAAUUUUUAUUUCUUUUUGUAAAGUGAACAUUUAAUAUCUCAUUAUAUAGUUAUCUAUUAUCUUCACUCUUAUCCAAUUAUUGUACUUGUUAUCAGAUAAAAGUGAAGUUUCGCUCAAAAUUAGGGGUGUUUGAAUCAAAUUUAAACAUUUAAUUAAUUGAAAUGAAAAAUUGGAAACUCAAACAGAACUACUGAUUUUGAUUCCUUUUGGAAAAUUAAUUGAAUUCGACUAGGUUUCAAUUUAUAUUUUUAAUGUAGUCCAAUUCAAAUUAAAAUGAGUAAUAUAUAUACUUUAUUGUGGUUGAUUUAUAAUAUAGUAGUUUUGAUUCCUAUACACUUUUUAAAACUUAGGGGUUAUAAACUCUAUUGUGAACUAGAAGUCUAAAAGUUUAAGACUAUGGUAGUUUAUUGUUUAGAAUUUACAAGUUUUGUACUAAUGCAAUAUGUUAUUAUGAGAUUGUGUUUUUUGUUUGUAAUGUUUUGUUUUAAAAGAUAUUUAUGAAUUGUUUGAAUUAUUUAUUUUUGUCUAAAAGCUCUAAUGUGUGUUUUGAAAAAAAACAAAACGGGCCACCCCCGGCCUGCCAGCCAUACCAAAUAUGGGUCGGACUGACAUUUUGAGCCAUUUUAACAAGAAGGGUCGGGCCGGGCCAGCCCAUAUUCUGACGGGCCAAAGGCGUGCCGGACUAGGCUGACCCGUAUUGCCACUAGGUAAAUGUUGUUUUCAUGACUGUAUUCACAUUAAUUUAAUGAUAUGUUUGAUACAUAAUUAUUUCAAAUAAAAUUAUUUCAUCAACUUUAUUCUUUAAACAAAUAUAACUAACAUGAUAUUCAUAUGGCUUUAUUCACAAUGAUACUGUGACUAAUAAAAGAUAAAAUAUUGAGAAUUUCAAAUUAUCUUAAAUUGGUUACAAUGAAAAAAACGUUAAGAAUUUGUGUACAGAACAAUUUCUCUCAGUGAACAUAAAAGUAAAGUAUCAAAAUUAUACCAAAUAAAAUCAAAAUUAUCUAGAAUAAUUAUUGCAAUGUUUAAAUCUAGUUAAUCCACGUUGAAACUUGCUCACCAGAGAUCUUUCUAGUUGUGAAGAACAAAACAAAACGCAUGUGAUGAAAAAAAUUAAUUUUAAAGCUUUAAAUUGGUCAAAAGUUACAAUAGUCCCCACCUUAAAUAUAAAAUAAUUAAUCCAUGUAUUUGAUAACAAGAAUGAAUAAUAAGUAAAUAUAUUAACAGUAUAUAUAUAUAAAUAAAUAAGUGUUUAUAUUAUUACAUGUAACAGUGGGAUAUUUCAUUUUUUUUACAUUCUUUUCUCAAAAACACAACUCUUAAAACGGAACAUACAUAACUAGCUCAGGAAAGCAACAUAUUCCUUUCGGUCAAUUCAUGCGAUGAAUUAUUUUCCAAAACAUCACCGAAAAUACGAUUUAGUGAGUCAAAUAUGUUUGGAUCAAAAUUUACCAUGAAAAGUCCCGAAUCAACGGCAAACACUAAAAGUAAAAAUGUACUGUAAUUAACAUACAUCUCUGGCCAAUUGUGCCAAUCACAAUGAACUUAAAUUUAUAAAAUUAUGAAUAUUGAACAAAAAAAAUUAACUAACUGUGACAUAAUAGAAUAGAAUGAUCUUGUCCCUAACAUACCUAUUUGACUAGGAAAAAACAUAACCAGAUUUUUAAAUAAAUGUAAUGGAUUAAAUAUGGCAAGAGGAAAAUUAACAAAAACACCCAGAUUCCAACAUUAUAUAAAAACAAAUUGCCAUCUACCAGUUAAACUUUGCUCUACACAAACAAAAGAGAUAAUAACAAGGUAACGCAGUACUCACUGAUAAUACUGAACUCCAAUAGAUCUCGGGAAUAUAUUCAGUUCCUUCAAAGAGGCUUUUCUCAUUACAUCAUAGAAUCAAUUAUCACCAGCACUACCAUUUCAAUACACAUAAGGAUUAUAGCAACACUCAAUUUCACAAAUAUUUUUCCCCAAACUAAAACUUACAGCUGAAAUCUAAACAAUGGAUUUUAGAUCUAAGAGCUUGUAAACUUUGUAACAGCUUUUGUUCCUUCAGAGACAGCAUGUUUAGCCAAUUCACCAGGCAACACAAGCCUCACAGCUGUUUGAAUCUCCCUUGAAGUUAUUGUAGGUUUCUUGUUGUAACGAGCCAAUCUUGAAGAUUCCUGUGCUAGCUUCUCGAAUAUAUCAUUUAUGAAACUAUUCAUUAUUCCCAUUGCCUUAGAGCUUAUA
RNAcentral lists this long non-coding RNA (7484 nucleotides) under Lupinus angustifolius (narrow-leaved blue lupine). RNAcentral's name for it is "long non-coding RNA (LANG_LNC001179)". Lineage: Eukaryota; Viridiplantae; Streptophyta; Magnoliopsida; Fabales; Fabaceae. The record is from RNAcentral.